CUCCCCACAUCUCCCCACACCCCGAACCUGCUCCUCUGCGGCCCCGCUCACUUCACUCACUCACCCCUCUCCAUCCGUCCAUCUCCAACCUGCAGCGCUCUAUUUUUCCUACUGUCCUCAGCUAUAUGCACAACCACCUUUCGCAGUGACAGUCAUGCAAAAAAAGAGAAAUUAUCCCAAGCAGCGUGAAUUCCUGGCACACAUGGAGCAGACCAUUCCCCAACCUCCAUGGAACAUCCAGCAGAACGGACACAAAACAUGAUUCUUUCACCUUCUUCAGUCAUGCUACCACCUGGCAUCUGCUUCAGAGGAAAUAUAAACCACUCUGGAAAAGGGAAAUGUCUUCCUGGGAAGCAUCUAGAUGAAAAUUGCUCUAUGGCUUCUUUGUCCUGCCUUGGAAUAGCUCUUUCCAUUAAAUUCAGCACCAGUGAGACACCCCAUGGGAACUCUGUUUUACUUCCCUCCUCCAGAGCAAUGUUUUCUUGUGUCCUCUUCUUAGGCUAAAUACGACAAGAAGAGCAACAUAUUUUAAAAUCUCAAAUCUGUCAACAAUAACUUCAAGAAUUUCUCUCCCUCUCCUCAUACAGUGUCAACAUAUUUAUUCUUCAUACACUU
RNAcentral lists this long non-coding RNA (615 nucleotides) under Parus major (Great Tit). RNAcentral describes it as "lncRNA (ENSPMJG00000006479.1)". The record is from RNAcentral. Lineage: Eukaryota; Metazoa; Chordata; Aves; Passeriformes; Paridae.